Molecule: ribosomal RNA, 249 nt
Filed under: uncultured bacterium
Lineage: Bacteria
Description: partial 16S ribosomal RNA
Rfam family: Bacterial small subunit ribosomal RNA
Source: RNAcentral
UCCAUGUAUUUAUAUAUGGACAGUGGCAAACGGGGUAGUAACAGGUAGGAACAUACCAAUGAGUCAGGAAUAACUGCAGGAAACUGUAGCUAAUACCUGAUAGUCUCUACGGAGUAAAGAUUUAUCGCUCAUUGAAUGGCCUGCUUAGUAUCAGCUUGUUGGUAGUGUAAUGGACUACCAAGGCUAUGACGCUUAGGGGAGGUGAGAGCCUGACCCCCACCAUUGGAACUGCGACACGGUCCAAACUCC